This 1482-nucleotide ribosomal RNA is filed under the name uncultured Bordetella sp. Its description in RNAcentral is "partial 16S-23S ribosomal RNA intergenic spacer". It matches the Rfam family "Bacterial small subunit ribosomal RNA". The record is from RNAcentral. Lineage: Bacteria; Pseudomonadati; Pseudomonadota; Betaproteobacteria; Burkholderiales; Alcaligenaceae.
AGUUCGAUUCUGGCUCAGAUUGAACGCUGGUGGAUGCUUUACACAUGCAAGUCGAACGGCAGCACGGACUUCGGUCUGGUGGCGAGUGGCGAACGGGUGAGUAAUGUAUCGGAACGUGCCUAGUAGCGGGGAUAACUACGCGAAAGCGUAGCUAAUACCGCAUACGCCCUUCGGGGAAAGCGGGGACCUUUCGGGCCUCGCACUAUUAGAGCGGCCGAUAUCGGAUUAGCUAGUUGGUGGGGUAACGGCUCACCAAGGCGACGAUCCGUAGCUGGUUUGAGAGGACGACCAGCCACACUGGGACUGAGACACGGCCCAGACUCCUACGGGAGGCAGUGGGGAAUUUUGGACAAUGGGGAAACCCUUGAUCCAGCCAUCCCGCGUGUGCGAUGAAGGCCUUCGGGUUGUAAAGCACUUUUGGCAGGAAGAAACGGCACGGGAUAAUACCCCGUGCAACUGACGGUACCUGCAGAAUAAGCACCGGCUAACUACGUGCCAGCAGCCGCGGUAAUACGUAGGGUGCAAGCGUUAAUCGGAAUUACUGGGCGUAAAGCGUGCGCAGGCGGUUCGAAAGAAAGACGUGAAAUCCCAGAGCUUAACUUUGAACUGCAUUUUUAACUACCGAGCUAGAGUGUGUCAGGGAGGGAGGUGGAAUUCCGCGUGUAGCAGUGAAAUGCGUAGAUAUGCGGAGGAACACCGAUGGCGAAGGCAGCUCUCUGGGAUAACACUGGACGCUCAUGCACGAAAGCGUGGGGAGCAAACAGAUUAGAUACCCUGGUAGUCCACGCCCUAAACGAUGUCAACUAUUUUCGUUGGGGCCUUCGGGCUCCUCGGUAGCGCAGCUAACGCGUGAAGUUGACCGCCUGGGGAGUACGGUCGCAAGAUUAAAAACUCAAAGGAAUUGACGGGGACCCGCACAAGCGGUGGAUGAUGUGGAUUAAUCUGAUGCAACGUGCGAAAAACCUUACCUACCCUUGACAUGUCUGGAAUCCCGAAGAGAUUUGGGAGUGCUCGCAAGAGAACCGGAACACAGGUGCUGCAUGGCUGUCGUCAGCUCGUGUCGUGAGAUGUUGCUGUCCCGCAACGAGCGCAACCUUGUCAUUAGUUGCUACGAAAGGGCACUCUCUAAUGAGACUGCCGGUGACAAACCGGAGGAAGGUGGGGAUGACGUCAAGUCCUCAUGGCCCUUAUGGGUGGGCUUCACGUCAUACAAUGGUCGGGACAGAGGGUCGCCAACCCGCGAGGGGGAGCCAAUCCCAGAAACCCGAUCGUAGUCCGGAUCGCAGUCUGCAACUCGACUGCGUGAAGUCGGAAUCGCUAGUAAUCGCGGAUCAGCAUGUCGCGGUGAAUACGUUCCUGGGUCUUGUACACACCGCCCGUCACACCAUGGGAGUGGGUUUUACCAGAAGUAGUUAGCCUAACCGUAAGGAGGGCGAUUACCACGGUAGGAUUCAUGACUGGGGUGAAGUCGUAACAAGGUAA